GUCCUAGCUGUAAACGGUGCGCAUUUGCUGUGGGCGGAAUCGACCCCGUUCGUGGCGAAGCUAACGCGUUAAAUGCGCCGCCUGGGAAGUACGGUCGCAAGAUUAAAACUCAAAGAAAUUGACGGGGCCUGCACAAGCGGUGGAGUAUGUGGCUCAAUUCGAUGCAACGCGAAGAACCUUACCUGGCCUUGACAUGUACGUAGUAGAAGGGUGAAAGCCUGACGAGGUAGCAAUACCAGCGUACACAGGUGCUGCAUGGCUGUCGU
RNAcentral lists this ribosomal RNA (266 nucleotides) under uncultured bacterium. Its description in RNAcentral is "partial 16S ribosomal RNA". It matches the Rfam family "Bacterial small subunit ribosomal RNA", at positions 793 to 1055 of the family's 1533-position model. The record is from RNAcentral.